This 253-nucleotide ribosomal RNA is filed under the name uncultured bacterium. RNAcentral's name for it is "partial 16S ribosomal RNA". It matches the Rfam family "Bacterial small subunit ribosomal RNA", at positions 524 to 776 of the family's 1533-position model. The record is from RNAcentral.
UACGUAGGGAGCAAGCGUUGUCCGGAAUCAUUGGGCGUAAAGCGCGCGUAGGCGGCCCGGUAAGUCCGUUGUAAAAGUCAAAGGCUCAACCUUUGAAAGCCGAUGGAUACUGCCGGGCUAGAAUCCGGAAGAGGCGAGUGGAAUUCCUGGUGUAGCGGUGAAAUGCGUAGAUAUCUGGAGGAACACCGGUGGCGAAGGCGGCAUCCUGGACCAUUACUGACACUGAAAAGCGAAAGCCAGGGGAGCAAACGGG